UAAUACGUAGGGAGCGAGCGUUGUCCGGAAUUACUGGGCGUAAAGGGCGCGUAGGCGGGUGUUUAAGUCAGAUGUGAAAACUAUGGGCUCAACCCAUAGACUGCAUUUGAAACUGGGCAUCUUGAGGGCAGGAGAGGAAAGUGGAAUUCCUAGUGUAGCGGUGAAAUGCGUAGAUAUUAGGAGGAACACCAGUGGCGAAGGCGACUUUCUGGACUGUACCUGACGCUGAGGCGCGAAAGCGUGGGGAGCGAACAGG
This 256-nucleotide ribosomal RNA is filed under the name uncultured bacterium. RNAcentral describes it as "partial 16S ribosomal RNA". It matches the Rfam family "Bacterial small subunit ribosomal RNA", at positions 521 to 776 of the family's 1533-position model. The record is from RNAcentral.